RNAcentral lists this transfer RNA (59 nucleotides) under Saprospiraceae bacterium. RNAcentral describes it as "tRNA-His". It matches the Rfam family "tRNA", at positions 9 to 63 of the family's 71-position model. From Rfam's summary of the family: Transfer RNA (tRNA) molecules are approximately 80 nucleotides in length. Their secondary structure includes four short double-helical elements and three loops (D, anti-codon, and T loops). Further hydrogen bonds mediate the characteristic L-shaped molecular structure. tRNAs have two regions of fundamental functional importance: the anti-codon, which is responsible for specific mRNA codon recognition, and the 3' end, to which the tRNAs corresponding amino acid is attached (by aminoacyl-tRNA synthetases). tRNAs cope with the degeneracy of the genetic code in two manners: having more than one tRNA (with a specific anti-codon) for a particular amino acid; and 'wobble' base-pairing, i.e. permitting non-standard base-pairing at the 3rd anti-codon position. The record is from RNAcentral. Lineage: Bacteria; Pseudomonadati; Bacteroidota; Saprospiria; Saprospirales; Saprospiraceae.
AGCUCAGUUGGUUAGAGCGUCGGAUUGUGGUUCCGAAGGUCGUGGGUUCGAGCCCCAUC